AUAAUUUAACUAGGAUAACAAAAUAUGGCUACUUUGUCACAAUAUCAAGACUACUUAUCCUUGUGACAAGUUGGACUAUGAUAGGCUAGGACCUUUUCUUAUUUGUAAAAAAAUCAAUCUUGUUGCUUAUCAAUUAUAUCUACUAAGGUCUAUGAAGAUCCAUCUUGUAUUCUAUGUAUUUCUUCUUAAGCCAUAUAAGACAAUGAAUAUCUUGGAAAGAAGACAAAU
Molecule: long non-coding RNA, 228 nt
Filed under: Physcomitrium patens
Lineage: Eukaryota; Viridiplantae; Streptophyta; Bryopsida; Funariales; Funariaceae
Description: long non-coding RNA (PPAT_LNC008615)
Source: RNAcentral